UCCCCGGUAGUAUACUGGUCAGUACACGCGCCUAUUGUGAGGAGGGAAAACGACAAGCUUGCACGCGCGAAAUCUGGGCUCAAUUCCCAGCCAGGGAU
Molecule: non-coding RNA, 98 nt
Organism: Paramarasmius palmivorus
Lineage: Eukaryota; Fungi; Basidiomycota; Agaricomycetes; Agaricales; Marasmiaceae
Source: the annotation of a GenBank genome assembly